UGAGAAGCCAACUCUGCGUUAUGUUGUUGCUGGUUAGUAGCUUACUUCCAGCAAACAGAACAGGAUCAUAGGCACAAAAAAAAAAGCAAGAGCAAAAACUAAACCACAAUUUAGAUGAGGAAAAA
RNAcentral lists this long non-coding RNA (125 nucleotides) under Crocodylus porosus (Australian saltwater crocodile). RNAcentral describes it as "lncRNA (ENSCPRG00005015932.1)". The record is from RNAcentral. Lineage: Eukaryota; Metazoa; Chordata; Crocodylia; Crocodylidae.